This 706-nucleotide ribosomal RNA is filed under the name Enterobacter cloacae. RNAcentral's name for it is "bacterial SSU rRNA". It matches the Rfam family "Bacterial small subunit ribosomal RNA", at positions 47 to 745 of the family's 1533-position model. Lineage: Bacteria; Pseudomonadati; Pseudomonadota; Gammaproteobacteria; Enterobacterales; Enterobacteriaceae. The record is from RNAcentral.
CCUAACACAUGCAAGUCGAACGGUAGCACAGAGAGCUUGCUCUCGGGUGACGAGUGGCGGACGGGUGAGUAAUGUCUGGGAAACUGCCUGAUGGAGGGGGAUAACUACUGGAAACGGUAGCUAAUACCGCAUAACGUCGCAAGACCAAAGAGGGGGACCUUCGGGCCUCUUGCCAUCAGAUGUGCCCAGAUGGGAUUAGCUAGUAGGUGGGGUAACGGCUCACCUAGGCGACGAUCCCUAGCUGGUCUGAGAGGAUGACCAGCCACACUGGAACUGAGACACGGUCCAGACUCCUACGGGAGGCAGCAGUGGGGAAUAUUGCACAAUGGGCGCAAGCCUGAUGCAGCCAUGCCGCGUGUAUGAAGAAGGCCUUCGGGUUGUAAAGUACUUUCAGCGGGGAGGAAGGUGUUGUGGUUAAUAACCACAGCAAUUGACGUUACCCGCAGAAGAAGCACCGGCUAACUCCGUGCCAGCAGCCGCGGUAAUACGGAGGGUGCAAGCGUUAAUCGGAAUUACUGGGCGUAAAGCGCACGCAGGCGGUCUGUCAAGUCGGAUGUGAAAUCCCCGGGCUCAACCUGGGAACUGCAUUCGAAACUGGCAGGCUGGAGUCUUGUAGAGGGGGGUAGAAUUCCAGGUGUAGCGGUGAAAUGCGUAGAGAUCUGGAGGAAUACCGGUGGCGAAGGCGGCCCCUGGACAAAGACUGACG